RNAcentral lists this long non-coding RNA (533 nucleotides) under Salvia miltiorrhiza (redroot sage). RNAcentral describes it as "long non-coding RNA (SMIL_LNC001827)". The record is from RNAcentral. Lineage: Eukaryota; Viridiplantae; Streptophyta; Magnoliopsida; Lamiales; Lamiaceae.
GGUGUUGGACCAUUACAUUGGGCCGAAAAUGUAGAAGGAAAGAGUGAAUGGGCUUAAGUUGUUGGGCCGAUUUUUCUUUAUUUUCAGAUGGGCCAAUGUUUAUUAAUUCCUUGGGCCCUAAAUUUAUAUCAAUUGGGUCAGUUUUAUUUUAAACUUUGGGUUGCCUUGAUUAAUUAAAUUAAUUGAGCAUGGGCUAUAUUUCAUCUAUUUAAAUGGCUUCCCUAUUUUAUUUAAUUAGACUAAUAAUUAGUUUGAUUAAAUUAUUUUUAAAGAUGAUUUGCAUUAUAAUAUUAUUAGCAUUAUGAAGUGCAUAUUUUCAAAUAAUUACUUAUUACAUUAUUAAAGUAUGAAAUGAGCUAUGCAUUUGCAUCAUGAUUUAAUUGGUUUUAAUUAUAAUUCCAAUUAUUAAAGAAAGACGAGUAAGAAUAUUGUUGGUGUUCUUAACUCAAGAGAAAUGUUUUCAAUUAUUUAUUAAAUUUUGAAAACCCGGCUAAGUGAAUCAUAGAAUGUUAAGCACUACACCAUGACUUAAG